This 500-nucleotide ribosomal RNA is filed under the name Alternaria sp. SQU-KH38. RNAcentral describes it as "eukaryotic LSU rRNA". The stretch from base 141 to 294 matches the Rfam family "5.8S ribosomal RNA". The record is from RNAcentral. Lineage: Eukaryota; Fungi; Ascomycota; Dothideomycetes; Pleosporales; Pleosporaceae.
CUCUCGGGGUUACAGCCUUGCUGAAUUAUUCACCCUUGUCUUUUGCGUACUUCUUGUUUCCUUGGUGGGUUCGCCCACCACUAGGACAAACAUAAACCUUUUGUAAUUGCAAUCAGCGUCAGUAACAAAUUAAUAAUUACAACUUUCAACAACGGAUCUCUUGGUUCUGGCAUCGAUGAAGAACGCAGCGAAAUGCGAUAAGUAGUGUGAAUUGCAGAAUUCAGUGAAUCAUCGAAUCUUUGAACGCACAUUGCGCCCUUUGGUAUUCCAAAGGGCAUGCCUGUUCGAGCGUCAUUUGUACCCUCAAGCUUUGCUUGGUGUUGGGCGUCUUGUCUCUAGCUUUGCUGGAGACUCGCCUUAAAGUAAUUGGCAGCCGGCCUACUGGUUUCGGAGCGCAGCACAAGUCGCACUCUCUAUCAGCAAAGGUCUAGCAUCCAUUAAGCCUUUUUUCAACUUUUGACCUCGGAUCAGGUAGGGAUACCCGCUGAACUUAAGCAUAU